RNAcentral lists this ribosomal RNA (1399 nucleotides) under uncultured bacterium. RNAcentral describes it as "partial 16S ribosomal RNA". It matches the Rfam family "Bacterial small subunit ribosomal RNA", at positions 16 to 1390 of the family's 1533-position model. The record is from RNAcentral.
AUCCUGGGCUCAGGGACGAACGCUGUAGGUGUGCUUUAGACAUGCAAGUCGAACGAGAAAGCCCUUCGGGGUGAGUACAGUGGCGAACGGGUGAGUAACACGUGGGCAAUCUGCCCCUCGCAGGGGGACAACCGGGGGAAACCCCGGCUAAUACCCCGUACGCUUGUUGAGUCGCAUGGCUCUACAAGGAAAGGUAGCUUCGGCCAUCCGGCGAGGGAUGAGCCCGCGGUGCAUUAGCUAGUUGGUGAGGUAACGGCUUACCAAGGCGACGAUGCAUAGCUGGUCUGAGAGGAUGAUCAGCCACACUGGGACUGAGACACGGCCCAGACUCCUACGGGAGGCAGCAGUCGGGAAUCUUGCGCAAUGGGCGAAAGCCUGACGCAGCAAUACCGUGUGAGCGACGAAGGCCUUCGGGUCGUAAAGCUCUGUUGUUGGGGACGAAGGGUUAGGGGUUAAUAGCCCCGAGCCUGACGGUACCCUUCGAGGAAGCCCCGGCUAACUACGUGCCAGCAGCCGCGGUAAUACGUAGGGGGCGAGCGUUGUCCGGAAUUAUUGGGCGUAAAGAGCGUGUAGGCGGUUCGGUAAGUCUGCCGUGAAAACCCAGGGCUCAACCCUGGGCGUGCGGUGGAUGCUGCCGGGCUAGAGGGUGGUAGAGGCGAGUGGAAUUCCCGGUGUAGCGGUGAAAUGCGCAGAUAUCGGGAGGAACACCGGUGGCGAAGGCGGUUCUCUGGGCCUGUACUGACGCUGAGGAGCGAAAGCGUGGGGAGCGAACAGGAUUAGAUACCCUGGUAGUCCACGCCGUAAACGUUGGGCGCUAGGUGUGGGGCUCUUCCACGGGUUCCGCGCCGUAGCUAACGCAUUAAGCGCCCCGCCUGGGGAGUACGGCCGCAAGGCUAAACUCAAAGGAAUUGACGGGGGCCCGCACAAGCGGCGGAGCAUGUUGCUUAAUUCGACGCAACGCGAAGAACCUUACCAAGAUUUGACAUUUCAACCCGAAAACUCGUGGAGACACAGGGGUCCCUUUGGGGCGGGUGACAGGGUGGUGCAUGGCUGUCGUCAGCUCGUGUCGUGAGAUGUUGGGUUAAGUCCCGCAACGGAGCGCAACCCUCGUUCCAUGUUGCCAGCACGCCCUUCGGGGUGGUGGGGACUCAUGGGAGACCGCCGGGGUCAACUCGGAGGAAGGUGGGGAUGACGUCAAGUCAUCAUGCCCCUUAUGUCUUGGGCUGCAAACAUGCUACAAUGGCCGGUACAGAGGGCUGCGAUACCGUGAGGUGGAGCGAAUCCCUAAAAGCCGGUCUCAGUUCGGAUUGGGGUCUGCAACUCGACCCCAUGAAGUCGGAGUCGCUAGUAAUCGCAGAUCAGCAACGCUGCGGUGAUACGUUCCCGGGCAUGUACACAC